RNAcentral lists this ribosomal RNA (376 nucleotides) under uncultured organism. RNAcentral's name for it is "partial 16S ribosomal RNA". It matches the Rfam family "Bacterial small subunit ribosomal RNA", at positions 527 to 896 of the family's 1533-position model. The record is from RNAcentral.
GUAGGGUGCGAGCGUUAUCCGGAAUCAUUGGGCGUAAAGAGCUCGUAGGCGGUUCAGCAAGUCGGCUGUGAAAUUCCGAGGCUCAACCUCGGAACUGCAGUCGAUACUGUUGUGACUCGAGUCCGGUAGAGGAGAAUGGAAUUCCCGGUGUAGCGGUGAAAUGCGCAGAUAUCGGGAGGAACACCAGUAGCGAAGGCGGUUCUCUGGGCCGGCACUGACGCUGAGGAGCGAAAGCGUGGGGUAGCAAACAGGAUUAGAUACCCUGGUAGUCCACGCCCGUAAACGUUGGAUACUAGGUGUGGGGUUCCGACCAACGGUCCCCGUGCCGAAGCUAACGCAUUAAGUAUCCCCGCCUGGGGAUACGGCCGCAAGGCUA